This 257-nucleotide ribosomal RNA is filed under the name uncultured Pseudomonas sp. RNAcentral's name for it is "partial 16S ribosomal RNA". It matches the Rfam family "Bacterial small subunit ribosomal RNA", at positions 96 to 354 of the family's 1533-position model. Lineage: Bacteria; Pseudomonadati; Pseudomonadota; Gammaproteobacteria; Pseudomonadales; Pseudomonadaceae. The record is from RNAcentral.
CGGCGGACGGGUGAGUAAUGCCUAGGAAUCUGCCUGGUAGUGGGGGACAACGUUUCGAAAGGAACGCUAAUACCGCAUACGUCCUACGGGAGAAAGCAGGGGACCUUCGGACCUUGCGCGAUUGAAUGAGCCGAUGUCGGAUUAGCUAGUUGGCGGGGUAAAGGCCCACCAAGGCGACGAUCCGUAGCUGGUCUGAGAGGAUGAUCAGCCACACUGGAACUGAGACACGGUCCAGACUCCUACGGGAGGCAGCAGGC